RNAcentral lists this ribosomal RNA (464 nucleotides) under uncultured bacterium. Its description in RNAcentral is "partial 16S ribosomal RNA". It matches the Rfam family "Bacterial small subunit ribosomal RNA", at positions 29 to 507 of the family's 1533-position model. The record is from RNAcentral.
ACGAACGCUGGCGGCGUGCUUAACACAUGCCAGUCGUACGGUAAGGCCCUUUCGGGGGUACACGAGUGGCGAACGGGUGAGUAACACGUGAGUAACCUGCCCACAACUUUGGGAUAACGCUAGGAAACUGGUGCUAAUACUGGAUAUGUGCUCCUGCUGCAUGGUGGGGGUUGGAAAGCUCCGGCGGUUGUGGAUGGACUCGCGGCCUAUCAGCUUGUUGGUGGGGUAGUGGCCUACCAAGGCGGCGACGGGUAGCCGGCCUGAGAGGGUGACCGGCCACAUUGAGACUGAGAUACGGCCCAGACUCCGACGGGAAGGAGCGGUGGGAAAGAUUGCACAAUGGGCGCAAGCCUGAUGCAGCAACGCCGCGGGCGGGAUGACGGCGUUCGGGUUGUAAACCGCAUUCAGCAGGAACGAAGCUUUUUGUGACGGUACCUGCAGAAGAAGCACCGGCUAACUACGUG